This 86-nucleotide non-coding RNA is filed under the name Pseudomonas baetica. The record is from RNAcentral. Lineage: Bacteria; Pseudomonadati; Pseudomonadota; Gammaproteobacteria; Pseudomonadales; Pseudomonadaceae.
GUGGGAGGGGGCUUGCUCCCGAAGGCGGUGUGUCAGAUACAUUAAUUUGACUGACACACCGCUUUCGGGAGCAAGCCCCCUCCCAC